RNAcentral lists this ribosomal RNA (253 nucleotides) under uncultured bacterium. Its description in RNAcentral is "partial 16S ribosomal RNA". It matches the Rfam family "Bacterial small subunit ribosomal RNA", at positions 524 to 776 of the family's 1533-position model. The record is from RNAcentral.
UACGGGGGGUGCAAGCGUUACCCGGAAUCACUGGGCGUAAAGGGCGUGUAGGCGGCUUGGUAAGUCUGGAUUUAAAGACCGAGGCUCAACCUCGGGAAUGGUCUGGAUACUGCUUGGCUAGACGACUGGAGGGGAGAGUGGAAUUCUCGGUGUAGCGGUGGAAUGCGUAGAUACCGAGAGGAACACCAGUGGCGAAGGCGGCUCUCUGGACAGUGCGUGACGCUGAGGCGCGAAAGUGUGGGGAGCGAACCGG